This 253-nucleotide ribosomal RNA is filed under the name uncultured bacterium. RNAcentral's name for it is "partial 16S ribosomal RNA". It matches the Rfam family "Bacterial small subunit ribosomal RNA", at positions 524 to 776 of the family's 1533-position model. The record is from RNAcentral.
UACGGAGGGUGCAAGCGUUAAUCGGAAUUACUGGGCGUAAAGCGCACGCAGGUGGCUGAGUCAGUCGAUUGUGAAAGCCCUGGGCUUAACCUGGGAAUUGCAGUCGAUACUACUCGGCUCGAGUAUGGGAGAGGGCAGUGGAAUUCCCGGUGUAGCGGUGAAAUGCGUAGAUAUCGGGAGGAACAUCAGUGGCGAAGGCGGCUGCCUGGUCCAAUACUGACACUCAGGUGCGACAGCGUGGGGAGCAAACAGG